This 240-nucleotide unclassified non-coding RNA is filed under the name soil metagenome. RNAcentral's name for it is "partial contains 5.8S ribosomal RNA, internal transcribed spacer 2, and large subunit ribosomal RNA". The record is from RNAcentral.
AACGCACGAGACCUGCGGACCUGCGGAGGGAUCAUUACAGAGUUGCAAAACUCCCUAAACCAUCGUGGACGCUACCUUCAAACGUUGCUUCGGCGGGCGGCCCGCUCUCCAGACGCCCCCGUGGCGCCCGGGGCGCGGGCCCCCUCGGCCCCCCCGCGGGGCGCCCGCCGGAGGUACCCAACUCUUGUUAAUUCUAGGCCUCUCUGAGUCUUCUGUACUGAAUAAGUCAAAACUUUUAAC